Molecule: transfer RNA, 73 nt
Filed under: Candidatus Westeberhardia cardiocondylae
Lineage: Bacteria; Pseudomonadati; Pseudomonadota; Gammaproteobacteria; Enterobacterales; Enterobacteriaceae
Description: transfer RNA Valine
Rfam family: tRNA
About the family: Transfer RNA (tRNA) molecules are approximately 80 nucleotides in length. Their secondary structure includes four short double-helical elements and three loops (D, anti-codon, and T loops). Further hydrogen bonds mediate the characteristic L-shaped molecular structure. tRNAs have two regions of fundamental functional importance: the anti-codon, which is responsible for specific mRNA codon recognition, and the 3' end, to which the tRNAs corresponding amino acid is attached (by aminoacyl-tRNA synthetases). tRNAs cope with the degeneracy of the genetic code in two manners: having more than one tRNA (with a specific anti-codon) for a particular amino acid; and 'wobble' base-pairing, i.e. permitting non-standard base-pairing at the 3rd anti-codon position.
Source: RNAcentral
AGGUGAUUAGCUCAAUCGGGAGAGCGCCUCUUUUACAAGGAGGAGGGAGACGGUUCAAUUCCGUCAUCACCUA